GUGAAAUAAAAAAGGCUAAGAUAGAGAGACAGAGUCAGAAAAGCAGAGACGAAAGGGAGGAGAAGAGGAAGAAAAUGAAGAGAAGAAGAAUAGGGAAGACGAAGAGAAGAAGGAGAAGAAGAAGAGAGAAGAUGAAGAAUACCACCUCCUCAGCUUCUUCGAUUGACAGGUUAGGCUUCUUCCUCUCCCUCAAUCUCUUUCUCUCUUUCUCUGUCUCAUCUCCUCCCUCGAUCUCUUUCUCUCUUUCUGUCUCCUUCGAUCUCUUUCUCUGUCUCCUUUGCAACAGUUUUCUCUCUUUCUCUGUCUUCGUCUCCUCUGCAACAGUUAGGGUUCUUCGAUCCAUUCAUGCGUGUCCGGAAAGUGUCCCGGCGUGUCCAUGGCGUGUCUGACUGAAAAAUUUCAAAAAAAAAAAGGGAUACGUUAGAGAGAGUGUCGGACACGUGUCUACUGCGUGUCUGUGUCCGUGUCCGACACGUGUCCGACACUCGUACGUAAGGCCUAGGGAUGUGUUGGUGCUUCAUAGAUUACAAGUAGUCCUAGGUUUAUCAGGCUCACAAUCAUCAAGUAAAGUGAAGUGUUCCCAAACCUCAAAUUUCUUUUUAUCUAAAUUAAUACUAGGGCAUGGAUGAGUUUUAUCAGAAUUUUUGGUAGGCAUUGUGGUAGUGGUAGAACUAGCAAUAGUAGUUGAUUCUGCAGUUGGUAUAGGAAGGUUUCCACCAUCAUUUGUAUUUUCCUCAUCCAUUCUCUAUUUCAAAAAUAAAAAAUUUAUAUGAAUGAUAAGUAAAUAAAUAAAAAUUAUCAAUGAUAAUAAGUAUGUAUCAAUAAAAGAGAGUGCAUAGACAGAGAGAGAACAACCGGGCCAUUUUUUUUGUUUUUUUGAAUAGGGGUCAGCUGGGCCAUGUACCUAAUACCAACUAUCAAUGGUGUUAUAUAUAUAUAUAUAUGUGUGUGUGUGUGUAUAAAGCAGAGAGAGCACAAGAACACAGAGAGAGCAACGAGAGAAAAGAGUAGCGCGCGUGCGAGAGAGAGAGAGAGAGAGAGAGAGAAAGCAGCGAGAGAAAGCAGUGAGAGAAACGUACCGACGAGUCGACGAUGACGACGAGUAGGUGGCCGCCGAUUGGCAAGGGAAGGAGAAACCAGCGGCGGCAGUGAGGAGAGGCUAACAGCGGUGAGCCGAUCGGCAAGGUAAUGAAAAGGAAUUGGUGAAAUGUUGUGCAUAGCAGUGAUGAAUCAAUGUGAAUGAGAUGAAAUUGAAAUGUGUGGGUGUCAAUUAGGUUUAAUUGAGGAAUUAUUGUGUGUGUGAGUAUAUGUAUGAUAGAUAUAAUCUGUGGCUGGAUUUGUGUGUAUAACAGGCGAUUUUUUUUUGUUUUUUUUGAAACAGAUGCGGGUCGGGUCGGUUAGACCUGCGGGUUGGAAAAUUUCACCCGCAACCUGUGUUGACCGGCUAGAGCUGGGCCUCCCACCCGCCCAACCUGCCCGCCAGAGUUGAAAAUUUGUGUGGUUCAGAGCGAUUCAGUGCGGUUUUGGCGAUAUUAUGCACAACCCUACUGGAAUGAAGUGGAAUUGAAUGAUCAUUUCAUCAAAAAUUUCAUUCUCAUGUUUGGUUUUUUAAAAAAGAUGAUGAAAAAUGUAUUAGAAAUGGAAUCAUCAUUUGCUGUACAAGGGAAAUGAUCAUUCCAUAGGAGAGCCAAAGGAAUGGUCAUUCCAUUCCAUUCUAUCUCAUUCCAGUGAAUCAAAUAGAGCAUAACGGUAAUAUUGUGUGGAUCCAUAGAACAAGCAUUCUUGAGUUCAGUUAGUUUAUGGAGGAAAUUUGCCUUUUCAUUGCACCAAUUUUGUAUAAGAGUGGGUAUAUUAACUUUUAUGCCCAUUACUCAAAGCUCUUAUAUGACGGCUUCUUUAUCAUCAUCAUCUUCUUUUUACCAUGUUAUCUAUAAACAAAUGGAAAAUAUAAGUAAUCACAUUUUGCUACCUUAGGUUUGGAGCUGAAAAACUACACGCCUUAGAUUAUCAAGAAUAAAAAACUUGAAUAAAAACAGUGUUUUGAAACUUCUCUUAGAGGGGAAAAUAUCCUAAACCUAUGAAGUAUAAGUAUGGAUACAGGUUGUAGGUAUGACAAAUAUAUAUGUUGAACGAGCUAAUUCUAAAAAAGUAGGAUAAAAAAAUGCAUUAAGAAUAUGACAAUAUAUAAAUGUGUGUAUCAUGUAUGUAUGUAUAUGCAUGGUUGUCUAAAUUGUACGAUUUGCGAUAUGAUUUGAUAUGAUUUUUGCAUAGAAUGAUUCAAAUCGCAACUUGGAAUUGGAAAAUCAAAAGAAUUGUCUGAUUCAAAAUCGGAAUCGUUUGAAUCGAUUUGAAUCGCCAAUACGGAUGAGUCGAAGCGAUUCAAAUUUUUUCUUUUUCCUCCCAGAUGUGUAAAAUGACAUUGUUUGAUGUCUUUAACCCCAAAUAAGUCCAUAUCAUCGAUAUACAGUAGAGAAGCCAAAAGGUCAAGCUAAGGCUUGACGAGCGAGGAAUCAAAGAGAGAAGGGGAGAAUCUGUCCAGGAAGAAGCGACGAACCUGUCAAGGAAGAAAUCUAAAGUAGCUAGUGAGGAAUCAAAGAAAGAAGUGGAGAAUUUGUCAAGGCAGGAGCAACGAACCUGUCGUCUUCUCUCAGUCGGAAAUCGAUUCACGAUUUGAUUUGUGAUUUGACAACCAUGUGUACAUAAACAUUAAGGUAUUUUCAUCACAACAUGUUGAAUUGUUGUCUAUCUAAAAGUUUAAGCUGUUAGGGACAUAUGUAACUUUAUUAUUUAUAUCCUUUUACAUGUCCCCUCACGUGUGGUCAUGUUCUUCUCUGUAAGCCAGCCAAACGUGCAACAAUUAUAUUUAUCUGGUAGGCAGUGAGAUUUAAGCCCAUGAUUAGUUGUUGACUCUGAUACUAAGGAGUAUGCAAUGUAUUGGAAAUUAUUCUUGCAUUUAUUUUAACAAUGAUAAUCUAAAGCUAUAUAAGAAAUGCCACAUCUUGAUUUUAGGAUGGUUCAUAUACCUAAAGUAUCCAGAAAGUAUAUGAUACUCUUAUCAUAAUAAAAAAAAAAAAAAUUAUGGAUAUGUUUAGAAAGUAUCAAAUGUAUUCAACAAGUAUUGAGGAGUAUCAUUAUUGAUGCCUACUCCCUAUGAUAAGAGUAACCCGUGACCGACCAUCUUUCUGUAGUGCUACAACCCUUUCUAUUUGACUAAAAUGGCAUCCACCUGAAGUACCU
This is a non-coding RNA of Camellia sinensis, 3237 nucleotides long. NCBI's taxonomy places the organism in Eukaryota, Viridiplantae, Streptophyta, Magnoliopsida, Ericales, Theaceae. The record is from RefSeq and is a predicted model, not a curated record.